GCCUGGCUAACUCAGUUGGUAGAGAAUCAGACUUUUAUUCAGAGGGUCCAGGGUUCAAGUCCCUGCUCAAGCA
Non-coding RNA from Gopherus evgoodei (Goodes thornscrub tortoise), 73 nucleotides. Lineage: Eukaryota; Metazoa; Chordata; Testudines; Testudinidae. The record is from the annotation of a RefSeq genome assembly.